AGCUGCCUCAGUAGCCCAGUGGUUAGGUAUGUAGCUUUCCUUGUGAGAACGUUGGUUCGACUCCGCUUGCCGACAAUUUCAUAAGAAAAGUUGCAAAUCGAGCUGCUGAGUUACCCGGAGGGGGUGGCGCAAUUUUUUUUAUUUUUUAUAUAAU
This 154-nucleotide small RNA is filed under the name Plasmodium falciparum RAJ116. RNAcentral's name for it is "Plasmodium RNA of unknown function RUF6-5". It matches the Rfam family "Plasmodium RNA of unknown function RUF6-5". Lineage: Eukaryota; Apicomplexa; Aconoidasida; Haemosporida; Plasmodiidae. The record is from Rfam by way of RNAcentral.